UACGUAGGGUGCGAGCGUUGCCCGGAUUUAUUGGGCGUAAAGGGCGCGUAGGCGGCUCGGCACGUCCGUUGUGAAAUCGCCCGGCUCAACUGGGCGGGGUCAGCGGAUACGGUCGAGCUUGAGCAAGCUAGGGGGCAAUGGAAUUCCCGGUGUAGUGGUGGAAUGCGUAGAUAUCGGGAGGAACACCAGUGGCGAAGGCGGCUCACUGGCCCGGUACUGACGCUGAGGUGCGAAAGCGUGGGGAGCAAACAGG
Molecule: ribosomal RNA, 253 nt
Filed under: uncultured bacterium
Lineage: Bacteria
Description: partial 16S ribosomal RNA
Rfam family: Bacterial small subunit ribosomal RNA
Source: RNAcentral